GGUAUAUUGUUGCCAAAUAAUAGAUUUUUUUUUUAAUUAAAAUAUUUGACAGAUCAUGGUAACUCGUGAAGCAACAUCUCAGAAUUGAAUCGGCGAGUUGUGUAUUUGCUGACAAUCCGAGCCUGCUCCGUUUAGAUUUGCAUAAUAGGAAUCAAAAAUUUUCGAAACUGCCAUCGCGGAAGGCCUGGUUGAAUGAACAUUGUUUUCGUCGAACCUCUAAAGGUUAACGAUUUGGAUCAUUUUGGAAGAUACAUACGCCGCGCUUUUCAAAGCGGACUGACGUGCCCUUGUGCAACUUGAUAAAGGCGGAAUUAUUUUAGGAAAGACCAUGGCAACUAGUAAAGCAGAAUCCGAGAAUUCAAUCGGCGGCUGUAUGUUGACUGACAAGAAUAUAAUUGCUGUUAAUCCGGCCCUGCGUCGUGUACAAAUGCAUAGUGGGGAGACAUGAACAUUUUUCGAAAUUGCGGACCUACCCUCUUGGGACUCUACGUUGGACAAAUUCUGAAAACGACCCCAGAAAUAUAAUUGGUGAGAAAAUAGUUUUUUUUUGUGUUAACAGUUAACAAUUUUUUAUUUUGGAAAUAAUUGGUUUCAGUAUGUACUGGUAUUAGUGAAUCAAUUUAAUGGCCUCAGCAUCUCUAAACCCACCAUCUUGAGACGCGUUAACGAUCCGGAUCGAGUUACGUCGCGUAAUUGGGUCACUUUUUUAAUUAAAAAAUGAAAGAUGUACCUACCAUACUUUAGAAACCCCUACUCCCCUUUGGAGGUGAUGAAAUAAGUUUUGGCAUAAAAUAUAAGUUCCUCAUUACUUUGAUAUGAUAAGUAUAAGUCUUGCCUGUUUUUUUUAAAGGAGGUUCAAACCCGUGCGAGGUGAGCUUUCAUAUAUGAAACAGACCAGUCAUGGGGACACGAGAUAUGGAAAGUUUCAGCGUAGUCGUCGCCACAUUGCUGCCAACACUGCAUAUAUAAGGAAUCACGAACCAUUCAGGAAUAUUGAGACUUAGACCAGUAUCUUUUUAAGUAGGCAUGUGGGGUAAAGAAGACGCAGAAGCUUCAGUCGGGUACCAUCGGUAACGUAGGCAAUUGAUAUAUUUCCACCACUACAUAUGUUGGAGUGGAAUUUCCCAUUUGAUGCUUUGACUGACUAAAUGAGAAAACUUGGAGAUAUUAAUGGUGGAGCCACACAGCUUCCAGUUCCGAAAAAAGAAAUCGAACACUUUUCGUCUUUAUUUCCCCUGUCCUUUGUGCGCAAUAAAAGUACAGUUUGUACCCGCGAGGGUACACAUUCGCAGAACUAUAUGUUUUUAAAAUAAAUGCUUUGGUCAAUAUUCACUAGGUGGGGUUACCUUAUUAAAGAAAAUCUUAUUCCAAGAGGGAACACUAGUUUAUAUUCGAACCGCUAGAGGGUGCAGAUGGUCACGCGAACAAUAUGAUCAAGUCUCAUUGACGGGUGGGAAAAUAUCUGGGCUCUGAUUGGCUUCGCCGCCAUCGCAAACUAGAUGAGGGGGAUUGAUUAAACCCCACAUUUCUGGUUGCUUAUGCAAUGGGGGCCAGUUUCAAGGG
Long non-coding RNA from Cylas formicarius (sweet potato weevil), 1563 nucleotides. RefSeq lists it as uncharacterized. NCBI's taxonomy places the organism in Eukaryota, Metazoa, Arthropoda, Insecta, Coleoptera, Brentidae. The transcript is spliced from 4 exons. The record is from RefSeq and is a predicted model, not a curated record.